This 2676-nucleotide ribosomal RNA is filed under the name Campylobacter coli. Its description in RNAcentral is "partial 23S ribosomal RNA". It matches the Rfam family "Bacterial large subunit ribosomal RNA", at positions 1 to 2532 of the family's 2925-position model. Lineage: Bacteria; Pseudomonadati; Campylobacterota; Epsilonproteobacteria; Campylobacterales; Campylobacteraceae. The record is from RNAcentral.
AGGUAAGCUACUAAGAGCGAAUGGUGGAUGCCUUGACUGGUAAAGGCGAUGAAGGACGUACUAGACUGCGAUAAGCUACGGGGAGCUGUCAAGAAGCUUUGAUCCGUAGAUUUCCGAAUGGGGCAACCCAAUGUAUAGAGAUAUACAUUACCUAUAUAGGAGCGAACGAGGGGAAUUGAAACAUCUUAGUACCCUCAGGAAAAGAAAUCAAUAGAGAUUGCGUCAGUAGCGGCGAGCGAAAGCGCAAGAGGGCAAACCCAGUGCUUGCACUGGGGGUUGUAGGACUGCAAUGUGCAAGAGGUGAGUUUAGCAGAACAUUCUGGAAAGUAUAGCCAUAGAGGGUGAUAGUCCCGUAUGCGAAAAACAAACCUUAGCUAGCAGUAUCCUGAGUAGGGCGGGACACGAGAAAUCCUGUCUGAAGCUGGGUCGACCACGAUCCAACCCUAAAUACUAAUACCAGAUCGAUAGUGCACAAGUACCGUGAGGGAAAGGUGAAAAGAACUGAGGUGAUCAGAGUGAAAUAGAACCUGAAACCAUUUGCUUACAAUCAUUCAGAGCCCUAUGUAGCAAUACAGGGUGAUGGACUGCCUUUUGCAUAAUGAGCCUGCGAGUUGUGGUGUCUGGCAAGGUUAAGCAAACGCGAAGCCGUAGCGAAAGCGAGUCUGAAUAGGGCGCUUAGUCAGAUGCUGCAGACCCGAAACGAAGUGAUCUAUCCAUGAGCAAGUUGAAGCUAGUGUAAGAACUAGUGGAGGACUGAACCCAUAGGCGUUGAAAAGCCCCGGGAUGACUUGUGGAUAGGGGUGAAAGGCCAAUCAAACUUCGUGAUAGCUGGUUCUCUCCGAAAUAUAUUUAGGUAUAGCGUUGUGUCGUAAUAUAAGGGGGUAGAGCACUGAAUGGGCUAGGGCAUACACCAAUGUACCAAACCCUAUCAAACUCCGAAUACCUUAUAUGUAAUCACAGCAGUCAGGCGGCGAGUGAUAAAAUCCGUCGUCAAGAGGGAAACAACCCAGACUACCAGCUAAGGUCCCUAAAUCUUACUUAAGUGGAAAACGAUGUGAAGUUACUUAAACAACCAGGAGGUUGGCUUAGAAGCAGCCAUCCUUUAAAGAAAGCGUAAUAGCUCACUGGUCUAGUGAUUUUGCGCGGAAAAUAUAACGGGGCUAAAGUAAGUACCGAAGCUGUAGACUUGCGCACAACUUAGAUUAUUUAAGUUUAGAAUAUGAGAAACUAAGUUAUAUGUUUAGUUAUAUUUUUACUGAUUUUUAUAGAGUAAAGAUAGAAAUAAAACUUAGUAAAAUCAGUAAAAAUAUUCUUAGACUAAAGUUAAGUAGUUUAAGUUGUGUGCAAGUGGUAGGAGAGCGUUCUAUUUGCGUCGAAGGUAUACCGGUAAGGAGUGCUGGAGCGAAUAGAAGUGAGCAUGCAGGCAUGAGUAGCGAUAAUUAAUGUGAGAAUCAUUAACGCCGUAAACCCAAGGUUUCCUACGCGAUGCUCGUCAUCGUAGGGUUAGUCGGGUCCUAAGUCGAGUCCGAAAGGGGUAGACGAUGGCAAAUUGGUUAAUAUUCCAAUACCAACAUUAGUGUGCGAUGGAAGGACGCUUAGGGCUAAGGGGGCUAGCGGAUGGAAGUGCUAGUCUAAGGUCGUAGGAGGUUAUACAGGCAAAUCCGUAUAACAAUACUCCGAGAACUGAAAGGCUUUUUGAAGUCUUCGGAUGGAUAGAAGAACCCCUGAUGCCAUCGAGCCAAGAAAAGUUUCUAAGUUUAGCUAAUGUUGCCCGUACCGUAAACCGACACAGGUGGGUGGGAUGAGUAUUCUAAGGCGCGUGGAAGAACUCUCUUUAAGGAACUCUGCAAAAUAGCACCGUAUCUUCGGUAUAAGGUGUGGUUCGCUUCGUAUUAGGAUUUACUCCGAAAGCGAAGAAACUUACAACAAAGAGUCCCUCCCGACUGUUUACCAAAAACACAGCACUCUGCUAACUCGUAAGAGGAUGUAUAGGGUGUGACGCCUGCCCGGUGCUCGAAGGUUAAUUGAUGGGGUUAGCAUUAGCGAAGCUCUUGAUCGAAGCCCGAGUAAACGGCGGCCGUAACUAUAACGGUCCUAAGGUAGCGAAAUUCCUUGUCGGUUAAAUACCGACCUGCAUGAAUGGCGUAACGAGAUGGGAGCUGUCUCAAAGAGGGAUCCAGUGAAAUUGUAGUGGAGGUGAAAAUUCCUCCUACCCGCGGCAAGACGGAGAGACCCCGUGGACCUUUACUACAGCUUGACACUGCUAUUUGGAUAAGAAUGUGCAGGAUAGGUGGGAGGCUUUGAGUAUAUGACGCCAGUUGUAUAUGAGCCAUUGUUGAGAUACCACUCUUUCUUAUUUGGGUAGCUAACCAGCUUGAGUUAUCCUCAAGUGGGACAAUGUCUGGUGGGUAGUUUGACUGGGGCGGUCGCCUCCCAAAUAAUAACGGAGGCUUACAAAGGUUGGCUCAGAACGGUUGGAAAUCGUUCGUAGAGUAUAAAGGUAUAAGCCAGCUUAACUGCAAGACAUACAAGUCAAGCAGAGACGAAAGUCGGUCUUAGUGAUCCGGUGGUUCUGUGUGGAAGGGCCAUCGCUCAAAGGAUAAAAGGUACCCCGGGGAUAACAGGCUGAUCUCCCCCAAGAGCUCACAUCGACGGGGAGGUUUGGCACCUCGAUGU